Chelonoidis abingdonii (Abingdon island giant tortoise) is the source of this 161-nucleotide non-coding RNA. NCBI's taxonomy places the organism in Eukaryota, Metazoa, Chordata, Testudines, Testudinidae. The record is from RefSeq and is a predicted model, not a curated record.
CAUUGCUGCACACAGGCAAGCUGCAUAGGGACCAGGGCAGAAUCCACAUUGCUGGAGAAGACCCUCCCACUCUUCCCAGGUGACGCGGAGCAGGGAUAUAUCUGGAAGGAUAAAAUCCUGUUGAAAAUGUAGGGAUACUGUUUAGUGCAGGUCCCUGCUCU